RNAcentral lists this ribosomal RNA (443 nucleotides) under uncultured bacterium. Its description in RNAcentral is "partial 16S ribosomal RNA". It matches the Rfam family "Bacterial small subunit ribosomal RNA", at positions 338 to 795 of the family's 1533-position model. The record is from RNAcentral.
CCUACGGGAGGCUGCAGUGGGGAAUAUUGGGCAAUGGCCGCAAGCCUGACCCAGCAACGUAGCGUGAAGGAAGAAGGCUCUCGGGUUGUAAACUUCUUUUGUCAGGGACGAAGCAAGUGACGGUACCUGACGAAUAAGCCACGCCUAACUACGUGCCAGCAGUCGCGGUAAUACGUAGGUGGCAAGCGUUAUCCGGAUUUACUGGGUGUAAAGGGAGUGUAGGCGGGACUGCAAGUCAGAUGUGAAAACCACGGGCUCAACCUGUGGCCUGCAUUUGACACUGUAGUUCUUGAGUACUGGGGAGGCAGACGGAAUUCCUGGUGUAGCGGUGAAAUGCUUAGAUAUUAGGAAGAACACCGGUGGCGAAGGCAGUCUGCUGGACAGCAACUGACGCUGAGGCGCGAAAGCGUGGGGAGCGAACAGGAUUAGAUACCCGUGUAGUC